Strongylocentrotus purpuratus (purple sea urchin) is the source of this 268-nucleotide long non-coding RNA. RefSeq lists it as uncharacterized. The transcript is spliced from 3 exons. Lineage: Eukaryota; Metazoa; Echinodermata; Echinoidea; Camarodonta; Strongylocentrotidae. The record is from RefSeq and is a predicted model, not a curated record.
ACCACGGCGAGGCCGGAUUCCUGUUUUAUCAUGAAUAUUCAUUAGGCAGGGUCGGGGAAAGUCUCGAUUCUCUUAAAUAUUCAUAUCGAGGUGGGAAUGCACGACGCGCGCUAUACUCGCACAAAGUGAGAAGAUUUAGUUCACGGAGAAUGCAUAUGGAUUGAAACUGAAGAGCUGGAAGGAGGACAUUACAACAUCUCUUAUAUUUGCAAGAUGAAGCAGAAAGUCCCAUGCAUGAUGAUGCCUCUCUACAGUGGAUGAUGAAGGC